CGCGUGGCAUUUAUUAGAAAAUACCAACUUGUUGUAGGGCGUGAGCUUUAGGAGCGUCUCAUAACUGAGCAGAUCGUAUGGCCUUGAGCUGACGACAUUUCGAUUGAAUUUCUGCCCUAUCAACUUGUGUCGGUAGUUGUAUGUGGACUACCGAGGUUGUAACGGGUAACGGGGAAUCAGGGUUCGAUUCCGGAGAGGGAGCCUGAGAAACGGCUACCACAUCCAAGGAAGGCAGCAGGCGCGCAAAUUACCCAAUCCAGACAGUGGGAGGUGGCGACGAGAAGUAUUGAAUGGCGGCCGUAAGGCUUGCCAGUUCGAAAUGAGUUCAAUUUAAGCAAUUGAAACGAGCAACUACUGGAGGGCAAGUCUGGUGCCAGCAGCCGCGGUAAUUCCAGCUCCAGCAGCGUAUCUCAAAGCUGCCGCUUGUUUUUGAAACGCUCGCUAGUUGGAUGAUUUACCAUGUAUCGGUUCGGGCCCUAGUGGGCGUUGACCAAGUAGCGAAUCGUUACUAGUUGCGUGCUGCUGUCUUCAUGUUGCCGGUGCAUGGUGAUUUCACGUGAGGAUGGCUGUUGACCUUGAGUGUGUCGACGGCUGUGUCUUGCGGGGUGUGCCUUGAGUAAAUCAGAGUGCUUAAAGCAGGCUAACGUCUGAAUGUUGAUAGCAUGGAACGAACAAUUGUGAAAG
RNAcentral lists this ribosomal RNA (684 nucleotides) under Myxobolus sp. Egy1. RNAcentral describes it as "SSU rRNA". It matches the Rfam family "Eukaryotic small subunit ribosomal RNA", at positions 197 to 830 of the family's 1831-position model. The record is from RNAcentral. Lineage: Eukaryota; Metazoa; Cnidaria; Myxozoa; Bivalvulida; Myxobolidae.